This 406-nucleotide ribosomal RNA is filed under the name uncultured bacterium. RNAcentral's name for it is "bacterial SSU rRNA". It matches the Rfam family "Bacterial small subunit ribosomal RNA", at positions 976 to 1380 of the family's 1533-position model. The record is from RNAcentral.
UGGCCUUGACAUCUGUCGAAUCCUGCAGAGAUGCGGGAGUGCCGCAAGGAACGACAAGACAGGUGCUGCAUGGCUGUCGUCAGCUCGUGUCGUGAGAUGUUGGGUUAAGUCCCGCAACGAGCGCAACCCUUGUCCCUAGUUGCCAGCACGUAAUGGUGGGAACUCUAGGGAGACUGCCGGUGACAAACCGGAGGAAGGUGGGGAUGACGUCAAGUCCUCAUGGCCCUUACGGCCAGGGCUACACACGUACUACAAUGGUCGGUACAGAGGGUUGCGAAGCCGCGAGGUGGAGCCAAUCCCAGAAAACCGAUCCCAGUCCGGAUCGGAGUCUGCAACUCGACUCCGUGAAGUCGGAAUCGCUAGUAAUCGCGAAUCAGCUAUGUCGCGGUGAAUACGUUCCCGGGCC